UGGCUCAGAUGAACGCUGGCGGCAGGCCUAACACAUGCAAGUCGAACGGUAACAGGAACAGCUUGCUGUUCGCUGACGAGUGGCGGACGGGUGAGUAAUGCCUGGGAAACUGCCUGAUGAGGGGGAUAACUACUGGAAACGGUAGCUAAUACCGCAUAACGUCGCAAGACCAAAGAGGGGGACCUUCGGGCCUCUUGCCAUCGGAUGUGCCCAGAUGGGAUUAGCUUGUUGGUGGGGUAACGGCUCACCAAGGCGACGAUCCCUAGCUGGUCUGAGAGGAUGACCAGCCACACUGGAACUGAGACACGGUCCAGACUCCUACGGGAGGCAGCAGUGGGGAAUAUUGCACAAUGGGCGCAAGCCUGAUGCAGCCAUGCCGCGUGUAUGAAGAAGGCCUUCGGGUUGUAAAGUACUUUCAGCGGGGAGGAAGGGAGUAAAGUUAAUACCUUUGCUCAUUGACGUUACCCGCAGAAGAAGCACCGGCUAACUCCGUGCCAGCCGCUGC
This 505-nucleotide ribosomal RNA is filed under the name uncultured bacterium. RNAcentral's name for it is "bacterial SSU rRNA". It matches the Rfam family "Bacterial small subunit ribosomal RNA", at positions 20 to 518 of the family's 1533-position model. The record is from RNAcentral.